This 254-nucleotide ribosomal RNA is filed under the name uncultured bacterium. Its description in RNAcentral is "partial 16S ribosomal RNA". It matches the Rfam family "Bacterial small subunit ribosomal RNA", at positions 524 to 776 of the family's 1533-position model. The record is from RNAcentral.
UACGUAGGGUGCGAGCGUUGUCCGGAAUUAUUGGGCGUAAAGAGCUCGUAGGCGGUGUGUCACGUCGGCUGUGAAAACCUGCAGCUUAACUGUGGGCGUGCGGUCGAUACGGGCAUCACUGGAGUUCGGCAGGGGAGACUGGAAUUCCUGGUGUAGCGGUGAAAUGCGCAGAUAUCAGGAGGAACACCGGUGGCGAAGGCGGGUCUCUGGGCCGAUACUGACGCUGAGGAGCGAAAGCGUGGGGAGCAAACAGG